GGCUCCCUGUUUGGCUGCUUUCUCCCUGCCACACCAGGAAUUAUUUCUCCACUGCCAUGCUGCCCUGCCUUGGAGCCAGCUGACUAUGGAUUGGAACCUCUACAAACUUCACAAUGAUGCGCUCUUUUUUAAUGGAUGAGGAAACUGGAGCUCAGGGUUUGAGUCACUGACCUAAGUGAUCACCAACUGCUGUGGCUCAGGUGUGAAGGGUGGGGCUCUGGCUGGCAUCUUGGACCAAGUAGAUGAUAGCCACACCUUGAAAAUUGGGUCUUUAGCACAGGGCCUGGUGCACAGAAGAAGCUGCAUCGAGGUGCACAGGACUGCAAAGGGGAAGGAGAUGGAGUUGGACGGCCAUGGGAAAGACAAAAGGAAACAACAUACCUGAAGUUUGGGGAGU
This 397-nucleotide long non-coding RNA is filed under the name Heterocephalus glaber (naked mole-rat). RNAcentral describes it as "lncRNA (ENSHGLG00000028260.2)". The record is from RNAcentral. Lineage: Eukaryota; Metazoa; Chordata; Mammalia; Rodentia; Bathyergidae.